UACGGAGGGGGCUAGCGUUGUUCGGAAUUACUGGGCGUAAAGCGCACGUAGGCGGCUUUGUAAGUUAGAGGUGAAAGCCUGUGGCUCAACCACAGAAUUGCCUUUGAUACUGUUUGGCUAGAGACCGGAAGAGGUAAGUGGAACUGCGAGUGUAGAGGUGAAAUUCGUAGAUAUUCGCAAGAACACCAGUGGCGAAGGCGGCUUACUGGUCCGGUUCUGACGCUGAGGCGCGAAGGCGUGGGGAGCAAACAGG
This 253-nucleotide ribosomal RNA is filed under the name uncultured bacterium. Its description in RNAcentral is "partial 16S ribosomal RNA". It matches the Rfam family "Bacterial small subunit ribosomal RNA", at positions 524 to 776 of the family's 1533-position model. The record is from RNAcentral.